RNAcentral lists this ribosomal RNA (2696 nucleotides) under human gut metagenome. RNAcentral describes it as "bacterial LSU rRNA". It matches the Rfam family "Bacterial large subunit ribosomal RNA". The record is from RNAcentral.
UCAAGCGAAGAAGGGCGCAGGGCGGAUGCCUUGGCACUGAGAGCCGAUGAAAGACGUGAUAAGCUGCGAUAAGCUUCGGGGAGGAGCAAAUAUCCUUUGAUCCGGAGAUCUCUGAAUGGGGAAACCCGGCUGUAUGGACUACAGUCAUCCAUAAGUGAAUCCAUAGCUUAUGGAAGGGAACCCGGGGAACUGAAACAUCUAAGUACCCGGAGGAAGAGAAAGAAACAUCGAUUCCGUAAGUAGCGGCGAGCGAACGCGGAAGAGCCCAAACCGUGAUGCGUGCAUCGCGGGGUUCGGACUGCAUAAGGGAUUCAGUAACGGCAGGAGAACGGCUUUGGAACAGCCGGCCAGAGAGGGUGAGAGCCCCGUAUCCGAAGCCAGAGCUGACCCGGCAGGAUCCAGAGUACCACGGGACACGGGAAACCCUGUGGGAACGAGCGGAGACCACUCCGUAAGGCUAAAUACUACUCAGUGACCGAUAGCGUAUAGUACUGUGAAGGAAAGGUGAAAAGAACCCCGGGAGGGGUCCGGCGAGCUGCGGGUACUGGCAAGGUUAAGCACUUCAGGUGCGGAGCCGUAGGGAAACCAAGUCUUAAGAGGGCGUUUUAGUCAGUACGUGCAGGCCCGAAACCGGGUGACCUAUCCAUGUCCAGGUUGAAGCCGCCGUAAAAGGCGAUGGAGGACCGAACCCACAUCCGUUGAAAAGGGUGGGGAUGAGGUGUGGAUAGCGGAGAAAUUCCAAUCGAACCCGGAGAUAGCUGGUUCUCCUCGAAAUAGCUUUAGGGCUAGCCUCAUACAAGUCUGCCGGAGGUAGAGCACUGAAUUUCCGCGGGGGCGUCAAAGCCUACCAAAGAAUAUCAAACUCCGAAUGCCGGACAGAUGGUGUAUGGGAGUCAGACUGUACGAGAUAAGUUGGACAGUCAAAAGGGAAAGAGCCCAGACCGCCGGCUAAGGUCCCAAAGUGGGUGUUAAGUGGAAAAGGAUGUGGGAUCUCUAAGACAACCAGGAUGUUGGCUCAGAAGCAGCCAUUCAUUAAAAGAGUGCGUAACAGCUCACUGGUCGAGAGGUCCUGCGCCGAAAAUGUCCGGGGCUGAAACACCACACCGAAGCCGCGGAACCCGUAAGGGUUGGUAGAGGAGCAUUCUUAGGGGAGCGAAGCAUUACCGGAAGGGGAUGUGGACCGCUAAGAAGAGAGAAUGCCGGAAUGAGUAGCGAGAGCAAGGUGGGAAUCCUUGCGGCCGAAUAUCCAAGGUUUCCAGAGUAAAGCUGAUCUGCUCUGGGUAAGUCGGGGCCUAAGGAGAGGCAGAGAUGCGUAUCCGAUGGACAGCAGGUUUAAGAUUCCUGCACCCCUUGUUAUCAGAACUGCGGGGACACGGGAAGGGAAGCAGAGCCGGGAAUGGAAAGCCCGGUGCAAGCGAAGGAGUCGCAGGGUUGGAAAAUCCGCCCUGCAUGAGACGAAGGCGUGAUGCGGAGCGAAAUGAAGUAGUGAAGCUGCGGCCCCUUCCUGUCGAGAAAAGCCGCUAUCGUGUAGCAAGGGCCCGUACCGUAAACCGACACAGGUGGAUGAGGAGAGGAUCCUAAGGCCGGCGGGAGAAGUGUUGUUAAGGAACUCGGCAAAAUGACUCCGUAACUUCGGGAGAAGGAGUGCUGCGCAAGCAGCCGCAGAGAAAUGGCCCAAGCAACUGUUUAGCAAAAACACAGGUCUAUGCGAAACCGGAAGGUGAGGUAUAUGGGCUGACGCCUGCCCGGUGCUGGAAGGUUAAGGGGAGAGCUUAGCGCGAGCGAAGGUUUGAACUUAAGCCCCAGUAAACGGCGGCCGUAACUAUAACGGUCCUAAGGUAGCGAAAUUCCUUGUCGGGUAAGUUCCGACCCGCACGAAAGGCGUAAUGAUUUGGGCACUGUCUCAACAACACACCCGGUGAAAUUGAAAUACCAGUGAAGAUGCUGGUUACCCGCGCCAGGACGGAAAGACCCCAUGGAGCUUUACUCCAGCCUGAUACUGGGAUUCGGUAUUGCAUGUACAGGAUAGGUGGGAGGCUGAGAACUCAUGGCGCCAGCCGUGAGGGAGCCGGUGUUGGGAUACCACCCCUGCAGUACUGGGUUUCUAACCUGCGCCCGUGACCCGGGCGGGGGACAAUGUCAGGCGGGGAGUUUGACUGGGGCGGUCGCCUCCGAAAGGGUAUCGGAGGCGCUCAAAGGUCUCCUCAGGAUGGUUGGAAACCAUCCAGAGAGUGCAAAGGCAGAAGGAGGCUUGACUGCGACACCGACGGGUGGAGCAGGUACGAAAGUAGGACUUAGUGAUCCGGUGGCAUAAAGUGGGAUUGCCAUCGCUCAACGGAUAAAAGCUACCCUGGGGAUAACAGGCUUAUCACUCCCAAGAGUUCACAUCGACGGAGUGGUUUGGCACCUCGAUGUCGGCUCAUCGCAUCCUGGAGCUGGAGCAGGUUCCAAGGGUUGGGCUGUUCGCCCAUUAAAGCGGUACGCGAGCUGGGUUCAGAACGUCGUGAGACAGUUCGGUCCCUAUCCGGCGCGGGCGCAGGAUAUCUGAGAGGAGCUGUCCUUAGUACGAGAGGACCGGGAUGGACCGUCCGCUGGUGGACCGGUUGUCAUGCCAAUGGCACGGCCGGGUAGCCAAGACGGGAAGGGAUAAACGCUGAAGGCAUCUAAGCGUGAAGCCCCCCUCAAGAUGAGAUAUC